GGGAAUGUGGCUAGGUGGUAGAGUGCUUGCCUAGCAUGCAGGAAGCCCAGGGUUAGAUUUCCUCAGUUCCA
This 71-nucleotide transfer RNA is filed under the name Dipodomys ordii (Ord's kangaroo rat). It matches the Rfam family "tRNA". Rfam says of the family: Transfer RNA (tRNA) molecules are approximately 80 nucleotides in length. Their secondary structure includes four short double-helical elements and three loops (D, anti-codon, and T loops). The record is from Rfam by way of RNAcentral. Lineage: Eukaryota; Metazoa; Chordata; Mammalia; Rodentia; Heteromyidae.